AUGAAGAUGAACCGGCAAUGGAUGUACGGUGACAGACACACCUCCGAGUAUAUUAAAGGCGUGCAAGAUUUUCUCGAAGUGGCUGAGGCAAACAAGCAGAAUGGUUUUAUGUGUUGUCCAUGCCCUAUAUGUGGAAAUACGAAGUCUUACUCUGACCGGAAAAUCCUUCACACCCACCUGCUUUACAAGGGUUUCAUGCCACACUAUAAUGUUUGGACGAGGCACGGAGAAAUAGGGGUUAUGAUGGAAGACGGCGAAGAAGAAGAGGACGAUGACAACUAUGUGCCCCCUGAAUACGGUGAUGCUGCAACGGGGGAAGCUGCUGAAGAUCAAGAGGAACCAGACGAUGUGCCCAAUGAUGCUGCAAGGGGGGAAGCUGCUGAAGAUCAAGAGGAACCAGUGCCCGAUGAUGAUGAUCUCCGCCGGGUCAUAGUCGAUGCAAGGACGCAACGCGAAAGUCAAAAGUAG
Molecule: ribosomal RNA, 468 nt
Filed under: Triticum aestivum (bread wheat)
Lineage: Eukaryota; Viridiplantae; Streptophyta; Magnoliopsida; Poales; Poaceae
Description: partial small subunit ribosomal RNA
Source: RNAcentral